RNAcentral lists this long non-coding RNA (417 nucleotides) under Manihot esculenta (cassava). RNAcentral describes it as "long non-coding RNA (MESC_LNC007218)". Lineage: Eukaryota; Viridiplantae; Streptophyta; Magnoliopsida; Malpighiales; Euphorbiaceae. The record is from RNAcentral.
UGCAAAUCAAUCGUAACAAAGCAAAAUCCAACACUCCACUCUUCAUGGAGACUGCAUAAACCUCCAAAACCAACUACCACAAAUCAUCAAUUUUAAAGCAUGCUGUUAAUAAACAUGCCACUAAUAAUUAAGAAUUAAAUAAUCAAACAACGAGAUCAACGUCAACUUGCAUCUUCGAGUGAGGGCCAUCGUCUGAGCGAUAUUGAUGCUAGAGGUUUGAAGCAAACCAGGGGUGUUGGAGGUUGCAGAGACAAGUGAUCAGUUCAUUAGUUAUGGCUUCUUUAAUGGACCUGCAAGGAAAAACAUGGAGGGCUGAUGGUUGAUGUGGUUACUUACUCGCCGCCUGAAAUUGGCUUCUGAGCACAAGAUGUGAUAUUAUAUGUUUUUGUGCUCACAAGGAGGACCACCCUCGUCAUC